UCGGGAAUUUUGGGCAAUGGGGGAAACCCUGACCCAGCAACGCCGCGUGAAGGAUGAAGUAUUUCGGUAUGUAAACUUCGAAAGAAUAGGAAGAAUAAAUGACGGUACUAUUUAUAAGGUCCGGCUAACUACGUGCCAGCAGCCGCGGUAAUACGUAGGGACCAAGCGUUGUUCGGAUUUACUGGGCGUAAAGGGCGCGUAGGCGGCAUGACAAGUCACUUGUGAAAUCUCUGGGCUUAACCCAGAACGGCCAAGUGAUACUGUCGCGCUAGAGUGCAGAAGGGGCAAUCGGAAUUCUUGGUGUAGCGGUGAAAUGCGUAGAUAUCAAGAGGAACACCUGAGGUGAAGACGGGUUGCUGGGCUGACACUGACGCUGAGGCGCGAAAGCCAGGGGAGCAAACGGGAUUAGAUACCCUUGUAGUCCCUGAGCGGGCUGGCAAGGCG
This 444-nucleotide ribosomal RNA is filed under the name uncultured bacterium. RNAcentral describes it as "bacterial SSU rRNA". It matches the Rfam family "Bacterial small subunit ribosomal RNA", at positions 355 to 822 of the family's 1533-position model. The record is from RNAcentral.